Molecule: ribosomal RNA, 467 nt
Filed under: uncultured bacterium
Lineage: Bacteria
Description: partial 16S ribosomal RNA
Rfam family: Bacterial small subunit ribosomal RNA
Source: RNAcentral
GACGAACGCUGGCGGCGUGCUUAACACAUGCAAGUCGAACGGAAAGGCCCUGCUUUUGUGGGGUGCUCGAGUGGCGAACGGGUGAGUAACACGUGAGUAACCUGCCCUUGACUUUGGGAUAACUUCAGGAAACUGGGGCUAAUACCGGAUAGGAGCUCCUGCUGCAUGGUGGGGGUUGGAAAGUUUCGGCGGUUGGGGGUGGACUCGCGGCUUAUCAGCUUGUUGGUGGGGUAGUGGCUUACCAAGGCUUUGACGGGUAGCCGGCCUGAGAGGGUGACCGGCCACAUUGGGACUGAGAUACGGCCCAGACUCCUACGGGAGGCAGCAGUGGGGAAUAUUGCACAAUGGGCGGAAGCCUGAUGCAGCAACGCCGCGUGCGGGAUGACGGCCUUCGGGUUGUAAACCGCUUUCGCCUGUGACGAAGCGUGAGGGACGGUAAUGGGUAAAGAAGCACCGGCGAACUACGU